AAAAGAGAGUCCAUUAGAUAAGGAAGACUUAGCGUGAGAUGUAUGGCUCAACUGCGUCUCCUUGGAGAGCACUCCUGAACACAUUGUUGCGCUAGCUCUUGCUUCUGGGGUUCAAUGUUAAAUGGCUGCUUCUAAGGAAUUGUUAGUCAUUUCCAUUAGUAAGCAACAAUAUUGAUAAAAGGAAAGAAAAUCAUAUUCAACGGCUAUGUAUUUUGAACUUUGCUUCUCAUGGAAAAUAAAUCAAUCAGUCAAAGAACAAAGAAGAAAAGUUAAUCAGUCAGCCUUGUCAAAGAUUCUCAAGAGCGCAAGAAUGGAAAGAGAGCUAAUCACGGCUAGAGAGCAAAUCCAGAAGAAUCUGCAGAAGCUCAAAUCAAGGAGAAAUGGAGGAAGCAAUUCAUCAAGAUUAACAAUGAAUCUAGCUACCAUUUCAAGCUAGAUUCAUGAGACUACCAUUGAGUCUUUCUCUUAGAUGUAUAUGUCUCACAAGGAAAGGACUCCUAAAAUUGCUGCCAUACAAUCCCAGAAGACAAAGAAACAAAAGACUCGUCAAGCUAUAAAGGAAGAAGUAGAAGAACAUCCAAAUGCACGCAACUACAUCAUUUGUUUCUAAGCCUUUCUAAUUCUUAGUACAAACAUUAUAUUCCCGAGUCUACAAGUGUCACAAAAGAUAGGAAGAGUUAGAACACAAAACGAGAGUUGUGUCAAUAUUGGAAAGUAUCAUUGUUGAUGUAUAUCGUUGGUGGUGAACGUAUUAAAACCAUCACUGCUGUAAACAUUCAUUAAAGAUCUAAGAGAACCCUUGUGACCCAAGGGAAUUGGACGUAGGUACUACACCG
Nicotiana tabacum (common tobacco) is the source of this 836-nucleotide non-coding RNA. NCBI's taxonomy places the organism in Eukaryota, Viridiplantae, Streptophyta, Magnoliopsida, Solanales, Solanaceae. The record is from RefSeq and is a predicted model, not a curated record.